GACAGAGGUGCCAAGCGUUCGGCGGAAUCCCUGGGCUUAAAGCGUGUGUAGGCGGAUUCCUAAGUACCUUGUGAAAUCCCACGGCUCAACCGUGGAACUGCUCGGUAUACUGGGUAUCUUGAGCCACUUAGGGGCGACCGGAACAAAUGGUGGAGCGGUGAAAUGCGCAGAUAUCAUUUGGAACGCCAAUGGUGAAAACAGGUCGCUGGGAGUGUGCUGACGCUGAGACACGAAAGCCAGGGGAGCGAACGGG
This 253-nucleotide ribosomal RNA is filed under the name uncultured bacterium. RNAcentral describes it as "partial 16S ribosomal RNA". It matches the Rfam family "Bacterial small subunit ribosomal RNA", at positions 524 to 776 of the family's 1533-position model. The record is from RNAcentral.